UCUCUUUCUCCCUUCUCCAUCUCUAGCAGCUGCCCCUCCCUCUCUUCCAUCUAUUUUUCCAGUGAAGCCCUCCGGAGGCGGUCACUUUCCUCUCCCCGGCGCCUCUCUCCUCUCGCCUUCCUCUCCGCCCCUCUCUUCUCCCUCCCUCUUCUCUAAUUUUCAUGACCGACAGGAACCCCGCAGCCAGCAGCCACCGGCGAGGCAGUGCCACCCCCUCGCUCUCCUUUUCUCCUUUUUCCAGAGAAAGCAGCAAGAAGCUGCAGCAACCAGCGAGAGCCGCUCUCUUCCUGUCUCUCCUCGCCUCUUUUUUCUCUUCUCUCUUCCCUUCUUUCCCGCCUUCUUUUCUCCAUUGCUGGCAGCGCUCAGGCGAGCUUCCAAGCAGCAGCAAACGGCAGGCACCGGCAGCAACGAUCAACGCUUCCCACCGGCCAGCAGCUCCGGCAAAAUCUGCAACUCAGCGAUGACAACAGCCCGACGAGAACUUCAACAUCGAGCAGCAGCAACAAUGAGCAUCUCCAGCGAGGCUUGAAAUUAUGGUAACUUGCGAGACAUGUCUCAACAGAUCCGUUCAGUUAUUUGAUUGCUUUGAGAGGUUUCAAACUUGAAGUUCAAGUUGAAGAUUAACCCUGAAGAAAAAUUUAUUUGCUUAUUUGAAUCUAUAUUUUUUCU
Molecule: non-coding RNA, 669 nt
Organism: Solanum lycopersicum (tomato)
Lineage: Eukaryota; Viridiplantae; Streptophyta; Magnoliopsida; Solanales; Solanaceae
Source: RefSeq, a predicted model, not a curated record